UGGGGAAUAUUGGGCAAUGGGCGAAAGCCUUACCCAGCAAUGCCGCGUGAGUGAUGAAGGUCUUCGGAUUGUAAAGCUCUUUGAUUAGGGACGAAGAAAGUGACGGUACCUAAAGAACAAGCCCCGGCUAACUACGUGCCAGCAGCCGCGGUAAUACGUAGGGGGCAAGCGUUGUCCGGAAUUACUGGGUGUAAAGGGAGCGCAGGCGGGAAGACAAGUUGGAAGUGAAAUCUAUGGGCUCAACCCAUAAACUGCUUUCAAAACUGUUUUUCUUGAGUAGUGCAGAGGUAGGCGGAAUUCCCGGUGUAGCGGUGGAAUGCGUAGAUAUCGGGAGGAACACCAGUGGCGAAGGCGGCCUACUGGGCACCAACUGACGCUGAGGCUCGAAAGUGUGGGUAGCAAACAGGAUUAGAUACCCUGGUAGUCCACACCGUAAACGAUGAUUACUAGGUGUUGGAGGAUUGACCCCUUCAGUGCCGCAGUUAACACAAUAAGUAAUCCACCUGGGGAGUACGACCGCAAGGUUGAAACUCAAAGGAAUUGACGGGGGCCCGCACAAGCAGUGGAGUAUGUGGUUUAAUUCGACGCAACGCGAAGAACCUUACCAAGUCUUGACAUCCCUUGACGAACAUAGAAAUAUGUUUUCUCUUCGGAGCAAGGAGACAGGUGGUGCAUGGUUGUCGUCAGCUCGUGUCGUGAGAUGUUGGGUUAAGUCCCGCAACGAGCGCAACCCUUAUGGUCAGUUACUACGCAAGAGGACUCUGGCCAGACUGCCGUUGACAAAACGGAGGAAGGUGGGGAUGACGUCAAAUCAUCAUGCCCUUUAUGACUUGGGCUACACACGUACUACAAUGGCGUUAAACAAAGAGAAGCAAGACCGCGAGGUGGAGCAAAACUCAGAAACAACGUCCCAGUUCGGACUGCAGGCUGCAACUCGCCUGCACGAAGUCGGAAUUGCUAGUAAUCGUGGAUCAGCAUGCCACGGUGAAUACGUUCCC
Molecule: ribosomal RNA, 998 nt
Filed under: uncultured bacterium
Lineage: Bacteria
Description: bacterial SSU rRNA
Rfam family: Bacterial small subunit ribosomal RNA
Source: RNAcentral